Non-coding RNA from Oryza brachyantha (malo sina), 77 nucleotides. NCBI's taxonomy places the organism in Eukaryota, Viridiplantae, Streptophyta, Magnoliopsida, Poales, Poaceae. The record is from Rfam.
GUUCCCAGUGAUGGUUUAAAUUAACCAUGCUAAUACUGAUGUCCUUUGACGAGUAAAACUGUUAUUCUGAGGGAACU